Molecule: ribosomal RNA, 440 nt
Filed under: uncultured bacterium
Lineage: Bacteria
Description: partial 16S ribosomal RNA
Rfam family: Bacterial small subunit ribosomal RNA
Source: RNAcentral
CCUACGGGAGGCAGCAGUCGAGAAUCAUUCACAAUGGGGGAAACCCUGAUGCAGCGACGCCGCGUGAGCGAUGAAGUAUUUCGGUAUGUAAAGCUCUAUCAGCAGGGAAGCAAAUGACGGUACCUGACUAAGAAGCCCCGGCUAACUACGUGCCAGCAGCCGCGGUAAUACGUAGGGGGCAAGUGUUAUCCGGAUUUACUGGGUGUAAAGGGAGCGUAGACGGCUUGGCAAGCCAGAUGUGAAAGGGUGGGGCGCAACCCCAGGACUGCAUUUGGAACUGUCAUGCUAGAGUGUCGGAGAGGCAGGCGGAAUUCCUAGUGUAGCGGUGAAAUGCGUAGAUAUUAGGAGGAACACCAGUGGCGAAGGCGGCCUGCUGGACGAUGACUGACGUUGAGGCUCGAAAGCGUGGGGAGCAAACAGGAUUAGAUACCCCAGUAGUC